This 465-nucleotide ribosomal RNA is filed under the name uncultured bacterium. RNAcentral describes it as "bacterial SSU rRNA". It matches the Rfam family "Bacterial small subunit ribosomal RNA", at positions 32 to 507 of the family's 1533-position model. The record is from RNAcentral.
AAUCAACGCUGGCGGCGUGCCUCAGACAUGCAAGUCGAACGAUUAAAGCUCUCUUCGGAGAGUGCAUAGAGUGGCGCACGGGUGAGUAACACGUAAGUAAUCUACCCUCGAGUGGGGAAUAACGUCCGGAAACGGACGCUAAUACCGCAUAAUGCAGCGGCACCGCAAGGUGACAGUUGUUAAAGAUUUAUCGCUUGAGGAGGAGCUUGCGGCAGAUUAGCUAGUUGGUAGGGUAACGGCUUACCAAGGCUACGAUCUGUAACCGGUCUAAGAGGACGGUCGGUCACACUGACACUGAAUAACGGGUCAGACUCCUACGGGAGGCAGCAGUCGGGAAUUUUGGGCAAUGGGCGAAAGCCUGACCCAGCAACGCCGCGUGAAGGAUGAAGUAUUUCGGUAUGUAAACUUCGAAAGAAUAGGAAGAAUUAAUGACGGUACUAUUUAUAAGGUCCGGCUAACUACGUG